UCAUACCUAUUCGAAGGGAUAGGGUCGGUUCGGCCGGAUUUUACACAAGUGUUGCAUGGCUGUCGUCAGCUCGUGUCGUGAGAUGUUGGGUUAAGUCCCGCAACGAGCGCAACCCUCAUCCUUAGUUGCCAUCAGGUAAUGCUGAAUACUUUAAGGAAACUGCCAGUGAUAAGCUGGAGGAAGGUGGGGAUGAUGUCAAGUCAUCAUGGCCUUUAUGGAGUGGGCUACACACGUGCUACAAUGGUGUCUACAAUGGGCUGCAAGGUGCGCAAGCCUAAGCUAAUCCCUAAAAGACAUCUCAGUUCGGAUUGUACUCUGCAACUCGAGUACAUGAAGUUGGAAUCGCUAGUAAUCGUGGAUCACCAUGCCACGGUGAAUACGUUCUCGGGUCUUGUACACACUGCCCGUCACGC
This 413-nucleotide ribosomal RNA is filed under the name uncultured Wolbachia sp. RNAcentral's name for it is "bacterial SSU rRNA". It matches the Rfam family "Bacterial small subunit ribosomal RNA", at positions 993 to 1402 of the family's 1533-position model. The record is from RNAcentral. Lineage: Bacteria; Pseudomonadati; Pseudomonadota; Alphaproteobacteria; Rickettsiales; Anaplasmataceae.